GGCCCAUGAUGUAGAAAAUUUGUUCGUACUAUCUGAGAAGUAUUUUGAUGGAGUAUACAAUCUAACUCCAGGUUAGGCCA
Small nucleolar RNA from Benincasa hispida (wax gourd), 80 nucleotides. RefSeq annotates it as small nucleolar RNA snoR117. The record is from RefSeq and is a predicted model, not a curated record. NCBI's taxonomy places the organism in Eukaryota, Viridiplantae, Streptophyta, Magnoliopsida, Cucurbitales, Cucurbitaceae.